This 599-nucleotide ribosomal RNA is filed under the name uncultured bacterium. RNAcentral describes it as "bacterial SSU rRNA". It matches the Rfam family "Bacterial small subunit ribosomal RNA", at positions 338 to 954 of the family's 1533-position model. The record is from RNAcentral.
CCUACGGGGCAGCAGUAGGGAAUUUUCCGCAAUGGGCGAAAGCCUGACGGAGCAAUACCGCGUGAGGGAUGACUGCCUAUGGGUUGUAAACCUCUUUUUUCAGGGAGGAAUAAAUGACGUGUACCUGAAGAAUAAGCAUCGGCUAACUCCGUGCCAGCAGCCGCGGUAAGACGGAGGACGCAAGUGUUAUCCGGAAUCACUGGGCGUAAAGCGUCUGUAGGUGGCUCAACAAGUCAACUGUUAAAUCUUGAAGCUCAACUUCAAAAUCGCAGUCGAAACUAUUGAACUAGAGUAUAGUAGAGGUAAAGGGAAUUUCCAGUGGAGCGGUGAAAUGCGUAGAGAUUGGAAAGAACACCAAUGGCGAAGGCACUUUACUGGGCUAUUACUGACACUCAGAGACGAAAGCUAGGGUAGCAAAUGGGAUUAGAUACCCCAGUAGUCCUAGCCGUAAACAAUGGAUACUAGGUGUUGAACAGAUCGACCUGUGCAGUACUAAAGCUAACGCGUUAAGUAUCCGCCUGGGAAGUAUGCACGCAAGUUGAGAACUCAAAUGAAUUGACCGGCGUGAGACGNGCGACGGACGACGACGAGGGAGUAGG